GGCACUAAUAGUGGAUGCCUUGACAAUCAAUACCGAUGAAGGACGUAGAACUCUGCGAUAAGUCUUGGGGAGCUGAGAGCAAGCUUUGAUCCAGGAAUUUCCGAAUGGGGCAACCUAAUACGAGUCAUGUCGUAUUGCAAUUAUCUGAACACAUAGGGUAAUUAGACGGGAACCAACCGAACUGAAUCAUCUUAGUAGGUUGAGGAAAAGAGAAUAAACAAUGAUUCCGAAAGUAGUGGCGAGCGAAAUUGGAGCAGCCUAAACCUUAACAUAACCAUACGGUUUAACGGCCAGAGUUAUGAAAGGGGUUGCGAAAUAAGAUAAUUUUUAUGCUGAGGUAUUGGAAAUCCGAUAUUUCAGUAUAAAAACCAACAUCGUUAAAUGAGUGGAUAAUGUUAUAAAACUUAGAUCAUAGCGGAAGUGUUUGAAUGGCACACCAAAGAAGGUGAGAGUCCUGUAUGCGAAAUGGUCUUAGACAUUAUAUAUCUUUUUUCAAUUAGGACGGGGCACGAGAAACCCUGUUUGAAUCCGGCAGGACCACCUGCCAAGGCUAAAUAUAUUGAUUGAUCGAUAGCGAACUAGUACAGUGAUGGAAAGGUGAAAAGAACCCCGGGAGGGGAGUGAAAUAGAUCCUGAAACUUAGUGCCUACAAGGUGUCGGAGCAGCUUCGGCUGUGACGGCGUGCUUUUUGUAGAACGAUCCAGCGAGUUAAUGUUGUCGGCGAGGCUAAGUCAGAUGAUGGAGCCACAGUGAAAGCGAGCCUUAACAGGGCGACAAGUCGGCAGUAUUAGACCCGAAACCGGGUGACCUAACCAUGAGCAGGUUGAAGCUGCAGUAACAUGCAGUGGAGGACCGAACCAGGACACGCAGUAAAGUGUUUGGAUGACUUGUGGUUAGCGGUGAAAUGCCAAUCGAACUCGGAGAUAGCUGGUUCUCCUCGAAAUAGCUUUAGGGCUAGCGUCGUGUUAGUAGCACAUGGGGGUAGAGCUCUGUAAAGGACUGGGGCGGGCAACUGUACCCACCCUUAACAAACUACGAAUACCAUGUGUGUAAUCACGGCAGUUAGAACAUCGGUGCUAAGAUCGGUGCUCGAAAGGGAAACAGCCCAGACCAUCAUCUAAGGUCCCUAAAUUAACGUUCAGUGGGAAACAAGGUGAGAUUUCUUAAACAGCUAGGAUGUUGGCUUAGAAGCAGCCAUUCAUUUAAAGAGUGCGUAACAGCUCACUAGUCAAGAGAUUUUGCGUGGAAAAUGUAACGGGGCUAAAGUGUUAAACCGAAGACAUGGACUUCAUAUUUUAUGGAGUGGUAGAGGAGCGUUGAUAUCGCAGUGAAGUCAGAUUGUAAAGUCUGGUGGAGCGUUAUCAAGUGAGAAUGCUGGAAUCAGUAACCUUAAGACAGGUGAGAAUCCUGUCGGUCGUAAGAGCAAGGUUUCCAGGGCUACAGUAAUUGCCCCUGGGUUAGUCGGUCCUAAGCCGAGGCGUAUCAGCGUAGGCGAUGGACAACAGGUUAAUAUUCCUGUACAGGUAGUAGUUGUUAACAGUUCACGGUGAGUGACCAGAGCGGAUUAAUGGUUUAUCCGUCCAAGGUUUCAAGGAAUUGAAACUGAGUGAAAGAUAUUCUUCGGAAUAUUGAUUCUGGGUACAACGCUGGCUAGAAAAGCUGGUUAACUUAUGCUGCUGCCUACCGUACCGCAAACCAACACCGGUGCUCGGGUCGAGUAGACCAAGACCUACGUGAGAACCUUCGCUAAGGAACUCGGCAAAAAAGCGUCCGUAACUUCGGAAUAAGGACUGCCCUCUCAUUAAGAUGAGGAUUUGCUAGAAACUUGGUGGAAACAUAAGGUUAAUAGUAUUUACCUAAUAAUUUAACCAAAUUUUUCGUCAAGACAGAACACAUCAGGAAAUAUCCUGUGAUAUCUUUUCUAGUAACUCAAUCGUCAUUUUGAUGAGAGGGUCGCAGCUAAAGAGCCCACGGAACUGUUUAACAAAAACAUAGGUCUCUGCUAACGCGAAAGCGGAUGUAUAGGGGCUGACUCCUGCCCGGUGUCGGAAGGUUAAGGGGAGAGCUUUACGGUUCGAACUGAAGCCCCGAUGAACGGCGGCGAUAACUAUGAUCGUCCUAAGGUAGCGAAAUUCCUUGUCUGGUAAGUUCAGACCCGCACGAAUGGAGUAAUCAUGUGGGCACUGUCUCGGCGAAGGCCACGGUGAACGUGCAUUGGCGGUAAAGAUGCCGUCUGAUCAUGCCAGGACGAGAAGACCCCAUGGAGCUUUACUACAACUUUGCAUUGAUUAUUGGGACAUUUUGUGUAGAAUAGGUGGAAGACUUUGAAGCAGAUACGCUAGUAUUUGUGGAGUCGAAAUGUGAAAUACCACCCUGAAUGUUUUAGUAAUCUCACUUUUGACCUUAUCGGCCAAGAGGACCGUGCAUGGCGGGGAGUUUAACUGGGGC
This 2448-nucleotide ribosomal RNA is filed under the name human metagenome. RNAcentral's name for it is "bacterial LSU rRNA". It matches the Rfam family "Bacterial large subunit ribosomal RNA", at positions 16 to 2280 of the family's 2925-position model. The record is from RNAcentral.